CUUCAGUUACGAGUUGCUCAGCGGACUGUGGAGUGACUGAACUAUACCCAUUCCCGUCAUGAUGCACACCCCUGAGGUUCCUCACCACACCUGUGUUCUGAUUAGAGGCAAAAUAAAUGACAUUCAAAACUUCCACUAAGGUACUAUAAGCUUUUGUGGUGAGAUGGCAUCUGGUUUCUUUCUACAAGGAAAGUUUAGCACACAGCACAGUCCUUGAAACAUUGGAUUGGUUUGAUGAGCCUACCUGGAAUAGGUAUGUAAAACCUCCAGCAUAUGCUUCAUCUCUUUGAGUCAUAUCUGUGGAUGUGUAUCCACUUCUGCUUUUCUUGUUGUUAACUUAGAGUGGAGUUUGUUCUGAAGAGUAAAAUUCAUGUGUCGAAGGUGACUAUGUGUUUACAGUAUGAUCUACAAGACUCCUUCAUUUUCUUUGUAAUGUGAUAAAUACAUAUUAAGAGCAUUCAUUCCAGGAGAGAAGGGAAAUCCCAUGCUCGUAUGGUUCUGAAAAUAAUAAGAUUUAAUCUACAACUUGUGAAACUCAAGUGUGUAAAAUAUGAUGAUUCCCUGGCAUGUUUAUAAGAACGGCAUCUGUGGCUCAAAAGUCUAACAGGAAGAUAGAAACUUCUUUUUUUUUUUUCCAAAAUUAAUCCAGGCUUAGGAAAAACUGAGUACCAAAUUAUGAAAUGACUGCACAUGGGAAUUAAUUAAUGAUUCUUUGAUCUCUUAGGUUGUAGGAUAAGUACUCCCUUGGUGUAUCAUAUGACAUAAAAAAAUACGGUAUUUGACAGUUUUAUUAAUGAAUUCUCUUGAAGGAAAUAUUCUGAAAUUAGAUUCUCAUAAGAUAUAAGUCAUGUAGCUCCUGAUUUAACUCAGUUCAGACUCUUUGAUGAGUGCUGUGUGUGUGGUUGUGGGUGUGGGGGGGGAUGGGUGUGUUAUCACUAAGGGAUACUUUAUUAUUUGACUCAUUGCUUUGUUGUAUUCAACUUUUGAAAUAUUAUUGGGAAUAUGGUAGGCUCGUUGAAAUUCUGGUAUGUAUUUAGAGAAGUGUCUGAUCUAUAUAAAUUGUAUUUUCAAAAGCAAGACUCUAUGUAACAACUCCCCUGUCCACCCCCUCCCCUCAAAAAUGUCUACUGAAAACCACAUUUGGUAAGUGGCACAGACAGACUUGAGACUUAAUCAGAUAUAAAACCUAGCUUUACUCCUUAACCUAUGACCUUGAAAAAAAAAUGUUAUGCUUCCUUAGAAAGAGGUGGGGAGGGAGAGGAUGGAAGAAGGGAAAAAAAAUAAAUCCACAAUUACAAUGCACCAAAUUUACCAGGUCACCUUUCUUAUUAAUGAGGUAUCAAGGAAUUAAUGGAUAUGUUUCUAAGAGUCUCCAGAGAAUUUCAUUCCUACAUUCUGUGAGAGUCUGAAAUCCAUAAUUAGAGUUUAACCUCCCUGAUUUAAGGUCGAAGUUGCAACUGGUCACCUGCACAUUACAGCUAUCUUAGGUUUUUAUUUUACAGGGGUUGGUUUUUUCCUUUUUGGGUUUUUUUUGGCCUGUACAAAUUAAUACACAUGUGAUAUAAAAAAAUUGCCAAAUCAAAAAACUCAAGAGACUUCACAUAAAUCUUGGCUUUCUUUCUCUGCAAAUGGCACUACAGUUAAAGUAAUUGCUGGUGCCAAAAUUCUAGUUGUCAUACAAAUUUCCUCCAUCUUGGAGUUCCCUUUGUGGGUCAGUGGGUUAAGGUUCUGGUGUUGCCACUGCUUCGGCUCUGGUUACAGCUGUGGCCAGGUUCCGCCCCUGGCCUGGGAACUUCCGCAUUCCUGGAACUUUUGGGUGUGCCCCACGCAAAAAAAUUACUUACCUCUUCUUAACUUCUCUACAUCUAACCCAUCAAUUUCUCCAAAGCCUUGAUCCAACCUAGUGGUUCUCAACCUCAAUAUGAAAAGAUGAUUAUCUGGUUGCUCAGGUUGCACCUAGAAAAUUAAUUAAAUUCACCACUUUCUAAUAUUAUCAGUCUUCUACCAUUGUCCCUAUGUCACCGCAUCAUUUCUAUUCUAGUCCCUGUUCAAUCCUAUCUCCACCCAACAGCCAGAGAAACUGUUAUGAAUAGAAACUUGUGGGUUCAAUGCCUGCGUAAACUCUUCAAUAAUAGUAGCAGUAAUGGUAACAACUGGUGAUCAUUGAUACCUUGGUUGAGUAAAGAACCCAAGUUCAGGUUUUAUAGAACCCAAGUUCAGGUUCAAGUCAUGGUGGCAUUAGGUUUCAGGAACAGAUGGAGGAAAGGGCACAAAGGAGGUGACUGCAGAUACCAAGGAAAGUUUAUUCCAUUUCCACAUGGGUCCUGUAGCCUAAUCUGACAAUACCUUCUCCUUGCCUGCUCCUCCAGGCAGUGACCCAUAGGCUAAAAGUUUUACUGACUUCUCCUACAAGUUGCUGCCCAAGCAGUGUCCUGAUGUCAUACUGCCAUCAGGAGCAAAGGGAUUUAAUAGUUUGGCAGUGACAUUAUUAUAAGAUUCAUGUUACAGCACAGCUACCAAUGUGUUUUAAAUGUCACUCCUUCAUAGUUGCAUGAUUCACCCAGCAAAAUAAGUUGAUACUGGUAAAUUUUUAGGCGGGAUAACCAAACUAUGGAUGUGUGUUUGACGUUGGUAGUUAGACCUGGGAUCAUUUCUCCUUCCUCUCAGACAUAGAGUUUUUCCUUUUCAACAAUGAAUAACGUAUAUCAGGUUAUUUCUUUGAGCCGAAGUGGAGGGAUUUUCUUCUCAUGAUAACUGUAUAGUGACUAUGUAGACCAUAGAGGUAGAUACUGAAGUCUUUCCUUUUAGACUUCAGCCACCCCAUAACUGGAGAGAGUGCACGUGCCAUCGGAAGGGAGGAAGAUAAGAUAUCAUCAGAAAGUUUUCAUUAAGGACACCCUCUGACACACUGUGAUGUUAUUUUAUUCAGAGUUUAAAAAUAAAUCACUAAAUACAAACUGCUUUGAAGCUGAGUAGAAACUUUGCGUCCUUGUCGGCACCCCUUGUGCGCGGCCUAAUCAGCUUUAAUUUCACAGUGGUGACAAUUUUUUUCUUUUUAUAAUAAUUAAUUGUUCUUUUUUUCAUUUUUUAAAGUUGUAUUGAAGUAUCGUUGAUCAAUAAGGUUGUGAUCAUUUCUGCUGUACAACAAAGUGAUUCAGUGAUGCAUGUACACACAUCCAUUCUUUUUUCAGAUUCUUUUCCCAUGUGGAUUAUCACAGACUAUUGGGUAGAGUUCCCUGUGCUCUAUAACGUGUCCCUGUUGGCCAGUCAUUCCAUAUGCCUCAGUGUGCAUAUACCAAUCCCAAACCAAUAUAAAACCUUUGGUGUUUCACUACUGACAUUGUGAAAAGCUCAAGGAGCUGUGUUAAGACAAAAAUGUGCCUCAGAUGUUCAGGUAAUGGAAACUAAUAAAGAUGUUGUAAACUCAGUUACCUAGGUAUUGAAUUAAUGCUUCAGGCAUAGCUCUCUCCUUUACCUAAGUGGGUCUGUUUACCCAAAUAAUUUGUCUGCGCAGAGCCAUCCUACACUUAAGGAGACAGUUGAUGUUUUCAGCUCUCUCUGGAGUAUUUAUCCUGGGGGACAAAUGGAGAACAAAAUACAUGGAGAGGCCAGGCACACAUACACUGGGCAUCCUGGACCCAGUACAGGAUAGUGCUUAUUAAUGAGAUGCCUUUGUAUUUCCUUUGGGGACCAGGAUGGCUUGGCCUUGUGUACAAUUCUUCUCUGUGGUGAAUAGAGUUAUAAAAAGACCACAGAUUCUUUUCAUGCCAUUUUAGGAAUUUCUUUGAAAGGAUUCAAGCAGUGAAGCACAUUAUGUUUUAAGGUUCUGCAUUAGUAUAGGCAAAGCUUUUCCAAUAAGAUAAAGCCAUUUUUCUAAAUUCUUUAUGUCACUGAGUGCCCAGAAUCUGGACAGAGGGAAAUUAAAAUCUCUCUGAAAUCCACCAUAUUGCCACCACCAUAUGAAAUAGCUAUUGAGAGGGAAACUAAUAGUGUCUUAAAUGAACCUUGGGUUAAACAUACAUCCCUUUGCAUUUUCCAGUAUUGUUUUUCACUUACCUUUAACUCCUUUUCAAUCAGAAAAGUUCCCUAAGUUGAUUAGGAUUCAUUUUUAAAAAUCUAAUAUAAAAACGAGUACAUUUUUAUUAGAGGGAAGGCACGAUACAGAUGCUGAGUUGAUUGUGAGGAUUUGUAUUACGUUAUAUUAAUGAAUCAAAUGGCUCCCCAAAUAUACAUGUUUGUCAUAGGGAUUUACUGUUCUAUCAGACUUUUUCUUAUUCCCGUCAUUACUCUAGCACUUUGUGUUGACUUUUGAGAGUGAACAUUUUGGAACAAAAGAUAUAUUCUUCUAGGAUCCUCCAUGCUUGGACCACAUCAGACCUGAGUAAAUAUUUGUGAGAUGAAUGAUGAAUAAUUCAAAUGCAUUUUAAUUUUAGACACAAGCAGAUGAAAUUAUACCAAAGCUAGGAACUGAUUUAGCUGCUGAACUAGAUAUAUAAAAUAAUGAUCAAUAAAAAUGGUAAUUCCUCAGAUCAGAGACUAUGUCUGGUGUGCUCUGUUGCAAGCAGAGAGAUGGGCAUCAUUUUUAAAGGAUUUGGACAAAGUCAUAGGCCAGCAAAUCUAAUAUUUUGGUGAGCAGCUCAUCCUGAUUUCAUUAAGGCCUGGCUGUUCACUUCCCUCUUCUCCACCAGUGUUUUCAUCUUUAAAUUUUUUUUCUGCCAUAUUAGGGGGUGUUCUAGUCUAAAGACUCCUGAUUGAAGUGCCUUAUCUUUAAAAACUUUGCUAAGGGCAUGUGGGACAUUAAGAGGUAAAAUGCUACUGUGGCUCUGUAAGUAAUAGUCUUUUCAGAAACAGCUGCACUUGUGAAUAACUGAAUAAAGUCUAAUGUUGUCCAAGCAGGUUAUAUGCUACCCAAGUAAACCUCUAGGAAGUACUUGAGUUGUUUCUGUGCCCCCUUCUACUCAUCUGUUAAAUCUCUGACUUUUCUUGGCAAAGCUCAAACCCAAUUAAAGUCCAUAUGCUUUACAGUGCUUCACAUCUGCAUUUUAGAAAAAGAGCAGAUGACCCACAUGGAUGUUGGGUCUUAUCAGCCAACAGUAAUAUAAGCCUUUCAUACAUAAAAUUCUUUUUCUCAGCAGUUGUGAAAUUUCACUUUGAAAUUAGUUUUCAUUCUUAGUAUAACAACAUACUAUGUCUCAAGGAAUAAGUGAUUUCAUAUAUUUAGGAGCCCUAAACUAUAUUCCCAUAUUGGAGAGAGAUUUAAAGCAAAUUGGUUUAUUUCAUCUGAAUAGUAAUAAUAUAAUCAAUGAUAGCUGUGAAAUUAGGAACUUCCCCAUGUUUAACUUAGCCAUCUUAAUGUUCAAAUAUAUUUUUCUUUACAUUAUUAAUUUUUUCUUCCUUUCAACAUUUCCAUCCUCUACUGUUUACUUGUCUUUACUGAUAUGUCUUACUCUGGUUAAAAAAAAAAUACUCUACAUAGGUUAUAACAAGAAUAAAACAAUAAUUUUAAAUGGAAUAGAAAAUUAAAGCGGGACAAAUAUAAAUAAAACUGUAGAAUAAGAGAGAAAUAAGUAUCAGUCACAAUUAGGCAAAUCCUAAAGACCAGCCUUUGCUGCUGUUGAUCAUCAGACUUUAAGUUUGCUCGGGGAUAAUGCAAAAUUUUUGUGAGGCAGUUCUUUUGUCUGAAAAAAAAAAAAAGAUUUGCCUAACAUUAAAAUACUCCUUCUGUAAGAAAAGAAAUUAGGAGUUCCCAUCAUGGCUCAGUGGUUAACAAAUCGACUAGGAACCAUGAGGUUGCCGUUGCGGGUUCGAUCCCUGGACUCGCUCAGUGGGUUGAGGAUCCGGCGUUGCCGUGAGCUGUGGUAUAGGUCGCAGAUGCAGCUCGGAUCCCGAGUUGCUGUGGCUCUGGCAUAGGCCAGUGGCUACAGCUCCAAUUAGGCCCCUAGCCUGGGAACCUCCAUGUGCCACAGGAGCGGCCCUGGAAAAGACAAAAA
This 5990-nucleotide long non-coding RNA is filed under the name Sus scrofa (pig). RNAcentral describes it as "lncRNA (ENSSSCG00000050944.2)". The record is from RNAcentral. Lineage: Eukaryota; Metazoa; Chordata; Mammalia; Artiodactyla; Suidae.